RNAcentral lists this long non-coding RNA (1123 nucleotides) under Anas platyrhynchos platyrhynchos (common mallard). RNAcentral's name for it is "lncRNA (ENSAPLG00000021582.1)". The record is from RNAcentral. Lineage: Eukaryota; Metazoa; Chordata; Aves; Anseriformes; Anatidae.
GACUAAUGCUAGCAUUCUAGUUCAGGGAGUUCACUUCCUAAAAUGUCUAUUUUCCAGUGCUUGUCACUGCAGCAUGAGAAAUGGGGCGAGCUUCUGAGGGACAAAACCACAUCUUUGGCACAAGGAAGAAUCACAGAGCAAAUAAUGUCUCCUGCCACUGCUCUAGAAUGGGAGUGCUCCAAAUUAUGGUGUGUGGAAGUAUGGUUUUAUCGUUCAUGUAGAACCAUAGCAAAGAAUAUUGUUUUUCUUCUCUGUGGGUAGUGUUAGUAGUAAGACAAUGCCGCAUUUCUUCUUUUUCUUGCUCUGGUUUUAGUUUUGCAGAAGAAUGUGUGAGUCUGUGUGUUGUUCAUGCAGACAGUUUCAGCAUUCAGCUCCGUAUUUCAUGCAAAUCUGUUCCUACAAGCAAGCUUACCAAUGCACUGCAGAUCUGUCCUGUCAUGCACAGAGUCCCAUGAGUGCCACUUUAAUGAUCCAGGUGUAUACACAUCAUCCUCCAAGCAAGUCAAAAGCAUGAAUGCUGUGAAGACAGGAACCAUGCACUUCCACGGGGACACUGAUCAUGGCAGCUGCUACUACAAAUGUCCUCUCCUGCUCCUGGGACCAGCAGCCUAUGAGCAAACAGAGCCAUACCCUUUUUCCACAAGUUCCUGACAAGAAACAUCAGACUUGCAGAUUCAGAGAUAUCAGGCUCCAACAGUACCUCACCAAAGACUUUUCUGGGCAUAAUUCUGGCUAAAUAAUGACCAGCAGUAAUCACUCCCACGUCAGUGGCCCAAGAAGCUACCUAGCCUGAAGCAGCAGGACAGGACAGGAUUUGAACCCAAGGAUGCUUCCUGAUAACCUUUCUGGUAGAUGAGCUGUAGAAGUAGAACUGUUAUUUAUUAUUCCUUUCAUCUGUUUGAAGCUCUAGAGAGUGCAGGUCUGUAACUUUACUCUUGUGUCAGCAGGGGGAUGGAAGUGAGAAGCAAAAACAGAAAAGUGAAAGCAGCUUGGUGCUGUCUCUGGAGCCAGGGCAACCAUGAGUGCUCCUUUGGGCUGCUUCUGGGGAAGGCUUCACUUUGCACAAGGCAACUCCAUAUGGUGAAGCAAUAAAAUCUGCUUCAGCUUGUUCUUUUUGUCUGUG